UUUUACUAUCAAAUCCAAUUUUAUUAAAUUUUUCAUAUUUAAAUCCAUAAAUAUAUUUUAUUGUAACUCAUUUAUACUUAAAAAUAAACUACACCUUGAUUUGAUAUUAAAUUUAAUUAAAUUUAUAGAAAAUUAUUAUUCUUAUAAAAUAUUCUAAUAACAACGAUAUAUAAAUUGACUAACAAUUUUAAGUAAGGUACAUCGUGGAUUAUCGAUUAUAAAACAAGUUCCUCUGAAUAGACUAAAAUACCGCCAAAUUUUUUAAGUUUUAAGAAUNUNAC
This 281-nucleotide ribosomal RNA is filed under the name Dideopsis aegrota. RNAcentral's name for it is "partial 12S ribosomal RNA". Lineage: Eukaryota; Metazoa; Arthropoda; Insecta; Diptera; Syrphidae. The record is from RNAcentral.